UACGUAGGGUGCAAGCGUUGUCCGGAAUUAUUGGGCGUAAAGAGCUCGUAGGUGGCCUGUCGCGUCGGCUGUGAAAUCCCGAGGCUCAACCUCGGGUCUGCAGUCGAUACGAGCAAACUAGAGUGUUGCAGGGGAGACUGGAAUUCCUGGUGUAGCGGUGAAAUGCGCAGAUAUCAGGAGGAACACCGGUGGCGAAGGCGGGUCUCUGGGCAACAACUGACGCUGAGGAGCGAAAGCGUGGGGAGCGAACAGG
RNAcentral lists this ribosomal RNA (253 nucleotides) under uncultured bacterium. RNAcentral describes it as "partial 16S ribosomal RNA". It matches the Rfam family "Bacterial small subunit ribosomal RNA", at positions 524 to 776 of the family's 1533-position model. The record is from RNAcentral.